Molecule: ribosomal RNA, 48 nt
Filed under: Curvularia lunata
Lineage: Eukaryota; Fungi; Ascomycota; Dothideomycetes; Pleosporales; Pleosporaceae
Also listed under: 10 other names
Description: partial 28S ribosomal RNA
Source: RNAcentral
UUUGACCUCGGAUCAGGUAGGGAUACCCGCUGAACUUAAGCAUAUCAA